This 471-nucleotide ribosomal RNA is filed under the name uncultured bacterium. Its description in RNAcentral is "SSU rRNA". It matches the Rfam family "Bacterial small subunit ribosomal RNA", at positions 26 to 518 of the family's 1533-position model. The record is from RNAcentral.
AGGAUGAACGCUGGCGGCGUGCCUAACACAUGCAAGUCGAACGUCCUUGCGGUCUUCUUCUUCGGAGGAGGACCGCGAGGGAGUGGCGGACGGGUGAGUAACACAUGGGUACCUGCCUUUCGGUGAGGAAUACCGGCGAGAAAUCGCCGACAAUACCGCAUACGUUUCGCAAGAAACAAAGUCGCAAGACGCCGGAGGAGGAGCCUGCGCCCGAUUAGCUAGUUGGUGGAGUAAUGGUCUACCAAGGCGACGAUCGGUAGCUGGUCUGAGAGGAUGAUCAGCCACACUGGGAUUGAGAACGGCCCAGACUCCUACGGGGGGCAGCAGUGAGGAAUUUUCGUCAAUGGGGGAAACCCUGAACGAGCAACGCCGCGUGCAGGAAGACGCUUUCGGAGUGUAAACUGCUUUUCUCGGGGACGAGUAAGGACGGUACCGAGGAAUCAGCCCCGGCUACUACGCGCCAGCAGCCGC